RNAcentral lists this long non-coding RNA (1052 nucleotides) under Sus scrofa (pig). RNAcentral describes it as "lncRNA (ENSSSCG00005025268.1, ENSSSCG00040032448.1)". The record is from RNAcentral. Lineage: Eukaryota; Metazoa; Chordata; Mammalia; Artiodactyla; Suidae.
UUGGCAUAGGCUGGCAGCUACAGCUCCAAUUUGAUCCCUAGCCUGGGAACCUCCAUAUGCUGCAGGAGCGGCCCAAGAAAUGGUAAAAAGACAAAAAAAAAAAAAAAAAAAAGUGCCUAAUUUACUUUUCACAUUAUUGAUCCACGCUAAAACAAGGUUUUAUUUUACUGAAGGUGAAGAAACAUUGUGCCUUUGCUUAAUUGUUUUUUGCGGGGUUUUUUUUGUUUGUUUGUUUUUGUUUUUUUUGUCUUUUGUCUUUUUAGGGCCACACCUGUGGCAUAUGGAGGGUCCCAGGCUAGGGGUCGAUUUGGACUACAGCUGCAGGCCUACACCACAGCCACAGCAACUUAGGAUCAAGCCAUGUCUUCGACCUACACCACAGCUCAUGGCAAUGUCUGAUCCUUAACCCACGGAACAAAGCCAGAGAUUGAACCCACAUCCUCAUGGAUACCAGUCCAGUUCAUUAACCACUGAACCAAGAUGGGAACUCCUUAAUUGUGUUAUUUUUUUCCUCUUUGUAGGAAGUACUGCUUAGAAUCAUAUGUUACUAAUUAUAUACCAACAUCUCAUACAUCCCAAUGUGCAGGUAGAAAGAAUGGAGUAAAGGUGAUCAAGUAUAUUUACAUCAUGAUAAUCCUAAGGGGAAGCCAGCCUCCAUGUUCAAAGGACAUUCAAGUAGCCCACAGAAAGUCUCAUUUGCAGAGCACCAUAGGCAUCCUGCCAACAGCCAACACCAACUUGUCAGGCGAGUGAGUAAGCCACUGUGGGAGCAGCACCUCCAGCCCCAGUGAAGCCUUAAGAUGACUGCAUGACUGCAAGCCUGGACAAUAUGUUGACUACAACCUCAAAAGGCCUGAGCUAGAACAUCCAGCUAAGCUGCUUCUAAAUCCCUGACCCACAGAAACUGUAAUAAAUAAAUGCUUAUUUGUUUGGGGACACCGAGCUUGGGAUAAUCUUUAAUGUAUCAAUAGAUUAAUACACCUUAUUAAGUUUUCAUCUAAGAAUGUAUGAAAGGAAAAGAUUGCUUGAUAGGAAUAAAAGAAAAAGAGCUA